Molecule: unclassified non-coding RNA, 1626 nt
Filed under: uncultured fungus
Lineage: Eukaryota; Fungi
Description: sequence contains 18S rRNA gene, ITS1, 5.8S rRNA gene, ITS2, 28S rRNA gene
Rfam family: Eukaryotic large subunit ribosomal RNA (bases 468-1626)
Source: RNAcentral
AGAAGGAUCAUUGACACAAUUUACAACAUAUUUUAACACCUGUAUGAACCUCUAUUUAAUUUACAACAAAAUAUAUUUACAACUACUCUUAUAUUAAAUUACAUUGUAAUUUACAACAUAAAAAAACAAAAUAGUUACAACAGUUAACAACGGAUAUCUAGGCUCUUACAACGAUGAAGAACGUAGCAAAAUGCGAUAAGUAAUGUGAAUUGCAGAUUUCAGUGAAUCAUCUAAUUUUUGAACGCAACUUGCGCCUUUUGUUAAUAGCGAAAGGCACACUUGUUUGAGUGUCGGUAAUUAUAUUAUCCACAAAAAUAUUAAUUUGAGUUCCAAUAACUACUAUGGUUAUCGUUACUUUAACAAUAUUUCAAAUGGUAAUUAUUUUACAUAUUUUAUUUUUCUAAGUUUUAUACUGUCGAAUAAUAAUCUAAAGUAAUUAAAAUACCAUUUAAUUUAUUCAUCACUCUCGACCUCAAAUCAAGUGAGAACACCGGCUGAACUUAAGCAUAUCACUAAGCCGAGGAAAAGAAACUAACAAGGAUACCCUUAGUAACGGCGAGUGAAGCGGGUAUAGCUCAAUCUUAAAAUCUGUGUUCUAUAAAUGGAAUACCGAAUUGUAGUUUUUAGAUAAUUUUUCCCACUUUUUUAGUUAUUAUUAAAGUCUCUUGGAAUAGAGUGUCAUAGAAGGUGAGAACCCUGUGAAUAGUAAUAAUUGAAAGAGGAAUAUGUGUUUAAUUAUCAUAGAGUCGGGUUGUUUGGGAAUGCAGCCUAAAAUGGGUGGUAAAUCUCAUCUAAAGCUAAAUAUAUGGUAAGAGACCGAUAGCAAACAAGUACCGUGAGGGAAAGAUGAAAAGAACUUUGAAAAGAGAGUUAAAAGUACUUGAAAUUGUUAACUGGGAACCGCUUAAAUUCUAAUCUUUUAAUUACUAUAAAUCAGUUUAUUUAAAUUGAAGCUUUAUUAUGCUGAGGUAAUUACGGUUAUUCUGCAUGAAAAAGUAACAGUAAGAAUGAAUGCACUUUAUAGUAGUUAUAAUCAACAUGAAUUUCAAUUAUGUUAGAAAAUAUUGAGAAAGGUAGUAUUAUUACUCUCGGGUAAUAGUAUGUUAUAGUCUAAGUAUGAAUAGCAUAGUUGAGAUUGAGGAAUUAAUGUACUCCUCAAUGGAUUGUGAACUUGGGUUAUUUACAGGCUUCAACUGUGGACUGUAACAGUGCAUGGGGAAAAGUUUGGAAAAGAGCUCAAUAGCAAAGGUACAUUAGAGAUGUUGAUCUUAUUAUUAAGAAGAAGGAUUUAAUCGACCCGUCUUGAAACACGGACCAAGGAGUCUAACAUGUAUGCAAGUAAACUGAGUUUAGAAACUCAUCAUGCAAAAUGAAAGUAAAAUUAUGGUAGGAAAGGUUCUACAAUAGGACCUAGCACUAUCAACCGACUUGGAUGGGGGCAACCCCUGAAAGGAUUGAGUAAGAGCAUUUAUGUUAGGACCCGAAAGAUGGUGAACUAUGCCUGAGUAGGGCAAAGUCAGAGGAAACUCUGAUGGAGGCUCGUAGGGGUUCUGACGUGCAAAUCGAUCUUCAAACUUGGGUAUAGGGGCGAAAGACUAAUCGAACCAUCUAGUAGCUGGUUCCCUC